UUGGGCGUAAAGCGCGCGCAGGCGGUUCCUUAAGUCUGAUGUGAAAGCCCCCGGCUCAACCGGGGAGGGUCAUUGGAAACUGGGGAACUGAGUGCAGAAGAGAAGAGUGGAAUUCCACGUGUAGCGGUGAAAUGCGUAGAGAUGUGGAGGAACACCAGUGGCGAAGGCGACUCUUUGGUCUGUAACUGACGCUGAGGCGCGAAAGCGUGGGGAGCAAACAGGAUUAGAUAUCCUGGUAGUCCACGCCGUAAACGAUGAGUGCUAAGUGUUAGAGGGUUUCCGCCCUUUAGUGCUGCAGCAAACGCAUUAAGCACUCCGCCUGGGGAGUACGGCCGCAAGGCUGAAACUCAAAGGAAUUGACGGGGGCCCGCACAAGCGGUGGAGCAUGUGGUUUAAUUCGAAGCAACGCGAAGAACCUUACCAGGUCUUGACAUCUCCUGACAACCCUAGAGAUAGGGCGUUCCCCUUCGGGGGACAGGAUGACAGGUGGUGCAUGGUUGUCGUCAGCUCGUGUCGUGAGAUGUUGGGUUAAGUCCCGCAACGAGCGCAACCCUUGAUCUUAGUUGCCAGCAUUCAGUUGGGCACUCUAAGGUGACUGCCGGUGACAAACCGGAGGAAGGUGGGGAUGACGUCAAAUCAUCAUGCCCCUUAUGACCUGGGCUACACACGUGCUACAAUGGAUGGUACAAAGGGCUGCGAGACCGCGAGGUUAAGCGAAUCCCAUAAAACCAUUCUCAGUUCGGAUUGCAGGCUGCAACUCGCCUGCAUGAAGCCGGAAUCGCUAGUAAUCG
RNAcentral lists this ribosomal RNA (791 nucleotides) under uncultured Bacillus sp. RNAcentral describes it as "bacterial SSU rRNA". It matches the Rfam family "Bacterial small subunit ribosomal RNA", at positions 554 to 1344 of the family's 1533-position model. The record is from RNAcentral. Lineage: Bacteria; Bacillati; Bacillota; Bacilli; Caryophanales; Bacillaceae.